Molecule: ribosomal RNA, 460 nt
Filed under: uncultured bacterium
Lineage: Bacteria
Description: partial 16S ribosomal RNA
Rfam family: Bacterial small subunit ribosomal RNA
Source: RNAcentral
CCUACGGGCGGCAGCAGUGAGGAAUAUUGGUCAAUGGGCGGGAGCCUGAACCAGCCAAGUCGCGUGAAGGAUGACGGCCCUGAGGAUUGUAAACUUCUUUUGUCAGGGAACAAUUGGGUCCACGCGUGGGCUUAGCGAGAGACCCUGAAGAAAAAGCAUCGGCUACCCCCGUGCCAGCGGCCGCGGUAAUACGGAGGAUGCGAGCGUUAUCCGGAUUUAUUGGGUUAAAGGGGUGCGUAGGCGGAAUAUCAAGUCAGCGGUAAAAAUUCGGGGCUCAACCCCGUCGUGCCGUUGAAACUGAUGUUCUUGAGUGGGCGAGAAGUAUGCGGAAUGCGCGGUGUAGCGGUGAAAUGCAUAGAUAUCGCGCAGAACUCCGAUUGCGAAGGCAGCAUGCCGGCUCCACACUGACGCUGAGGCACGAAAGCGUGGGGAGCGAACAGGAUUAGAUACCCCAGUAGUC